This 873-nucleotide ribosomal RNA is filed under the name Triticum aestivum (bread wheat). RNAcentral describes it as "partial small subunit ribosomal RNA". Lineage: Eukaryota; Viridiplantae; Streptophyta; Magnoliopsida; Poales; Poaceae. The record is from RNAcentral.
AUGGGAGGUGGGAGCAACUCCGGCAAGCCAGGCGCAUCAGAGGCGUUGAGCCUCGUGUUCCGCAUCACGACGGUGGGGCUGUCGCUGGCGUCGGCGAUCAUGACGGCGGCCUCGACGCAGAGCCAGUGCGUCCACGACGACUGCAACGGCGAGGCGACCGCCACCGUCUCCUUCGGCAACUACAACUCCUUCAAGUAUUCGGCGCUGGCCGACCUGCUGUCGGCGGUGCUGCAGGGCGUGGCGAUCUGCCUGGAGGUGGCGAGGAAGGACAAGGCAGCCAAGGUCGUGGAGUUCAUCGACAAGCUCCUGCUGGCGCUCACCUCGACGUCAGCGGCGCUGCUGCUGGCCGUCGACGACAUCACCUCCUGCGGGUCACCUCGCGGUGGCGGGCGCCGGCGCAGCAGACGCUUCUGCACCCAGGCCGGCAGGUUCUGCGGGAAGAUCCGAGCGUCGUCGGCUUUGUCCCUCGUCGCCGCCGUUUCCGUCUCCGUCACCGUCUACACCAGGCACAUCCCCGUAAGUUUUACGCUUACGCCACGGCUACGGGCUUCGCCCCCAGCCAGGGAAAUUCCAAUGAAAGGACACCCAACAGCACCGCCACCAAGUGUUAGGCCGAAACCGCCAAAACCGGAAUCACCUACCGGACCCAAGUGUGGAGAAGAACCAGGGCCGUGCACAGAUAUUGGGACCCCACAGCCACCGGUGAUGCCUCGGCCGUGCGGCGGAUGCACGACGCUAACAAUCCCGCAAGGCUGCGAGAUCGCCGAGCAGGUGGUGUCUCCGCCGUGCUGCGGAUGCCCGAGGCGGACGAUCCCGCAAGGCUGCGAGAACCCCGAGCCAUGCGGCGCAGCAUGUGUUUAUGUCCAUGAAUAA